GGCUAUGUAGCUCAGUUGGUUAGAGCACCGCACUCAUAAUGCGGGGGUCACAGGUUCAAGUCCCGUCAUAGCCA
This is a non-coding RNA of Acinetobacter sp. Ver3, 74 nucleotides long. NCBI's taxonomy places the organism in Bacteria, Pseudomonadati, Pseudomonadota, Gammaproteobacteria, Moraxellales, Moraxellaceae. The record is from Rfam.